GGAAUAUUGGUCAAUGGAGGCAACUCUGAACCAGCCAUGCCGCGUGCAGGAAGACAGCCCUCUGGGUCGUAAACUGCUUUUAUUCGUGAAUAAACCACAUUACGUGUAAUGUGCUGAAUGUACCGAAGGAAUAAGGAUCGGCUAACUCCGUGCCAGCAGCCGCGGUAAUACGGAGGAUCCAAGCGUUAUCCGGAUUUAUUGGGUUUAAAGGGUGCGUAGGCGGCUUAUUAAGUCAGGGGUGAAAGACGGUGGCUCAACCAUCGCAGUGCCUUUGAUACUGAUGAGCUUGAAUACACUAGAGGUAGGCGGAAUGUGACAAGUAGCGGUGAAAUGCAUAGAUAUGUCACAGAACACCGAUUGCGAAGGCAGCUUACUAUGGUGUGAUUGACGCUGAGGCACGAAAGCGUGGGGAUCAAACA
RNAcentral lists this ribosomal RNA (419 nucleotides) under uncultured Pedobacter sp. Its description in RNAcentral is "bacterial SSU rRNA". It matches the Rfam family "Bacterial small subunit ribosomal RNA", at positions 358 to 774 of the family's 1533-position model. The record is from RNAcentral. Lineage: Bacteria; Pseudomonadati; Bacteroidota; Sphingobacteriia; Sphingobacteriales; Sphingobacteriaceae.